This is a small nucleolar RNA of Ornithorhynchus anatinus (platypus), 138 nucleotides long. Lineage: Eukaryota; Metazoa; Chordata; Mammalia; Monotremata; Ornithorhynchidae. The record is from RefSeq and is a predicted model, not a curated record.
GCCCUCUCAGGACGGCACCUGGAGGGUUUCCAGUGCCCUACCAGUCUCGACUGUGGGAGGGAGAGUCAAGCAGAGGCCUACCCAUUCCAUUUCUAGCUUGGGCAGUAGCUACCGAGUGGAAGGCAAUCUGCUAAAAGU